AUACGGAGGAUGCAAGCGUUAUCCGGAUUUAUUGGGUUUAAAGGGUGCGUAGGCGGCCUUGUAAGUCAGCGGUGAAAUUUUGCAGCUUAACUGUAAAAGUGCCGUUGAUACUGUGAGGCUAGGAUUUGGUUGCUGUGGGUGGAAUGUGUGGUGUAGCGGUGAAAUGCUUAGAGAUCACACAGAAUAUCGAUUGCGAAGGCAGCUCACAAAGCCAAGAUUGACGCUGAGGCACGAAAGUGUGGGGAUCAAACAGGAUUAGAUACCCUGGUAGUCCACAAUGUAAACGAUGAUAACUCGCUGUCGGCGAUAUACAGUCGGUGGCCAAGCGAAAGCGAUAAGUUAUCCACCUGGGGAGUACGACCGCAAGGUUGAAACUCAAAGGAAUUGACGGGG
RNAcentral lists this ribosomal RNA (393 nucleotides) under uncultured bacterium. RNAcentral's name for it is "partial 16S ribosomal RNA". It matches the Rfam family "Bacterial small subunit ribosomal RNA", at positions 523 to 918 of the family's 1533-position model. The record is from RNAcentral.